Molecule: long non-coding RNA, 365 nt
Filed under: Hordeum vulgare
Lineage: Eukaryota; Viridiplantae; Streptophyta; Magnoliopsida; Poales; Poaceae
Description: long non-coding RNA (HVUL_LNC009690)
Source: RNAcentral
UGAGGAUCCAGGUCCUGCCGCUCUCCCCCGACAUCUUGCGCAAGUUGCUCCGUCGGCUGACUAGUGGCGAUCCUAAUGAGCUUCCCCAGAAUGGCCUCCCAUUGUAUAACUUCAAGGCCCCGGAAGCUCUCGUCGCGGGGAUGCCGCUCUUCGAUGAGUGGGGGUUCCUCCGUGGAGGGGACGUGUGCCCCCGGAGGGCCUCGACCCUUGGGGUUCAUGCCCACAAAAACUCUUGUCGUGCCGCCCCUCCCACAGCUGAGGUGGGAGGUGUAUAGCCGCCCGCUCCCCGGGGGUGCGCGUCCUGAGAUCACCGAGAAUCUUGUGGUUUCUUCCCCCGCACCCACUGGGGUUCAACCUCUUGAGUC